RNAcentral lists this unclassified non-coding RNA (253 nucleotides) under uncultured Oligoflexaceae bacterium. RNAcentral describes it as "contains 16S-23S intergenic spacer region". It matches the Rfam family "Bacterial small subunit ribosomal RNA", at positions 524 to 776 of the family's 1533-position model. The record is from RNAcentral. Lineage: Bacteria; Pseudomonadati; Bdellovibrionota; Oligoflexia; Oligoflexales; Oligoflexaceae.
UACGGAGGGUGCAAGCGUUGUUCGGAAUUACUGGGCGUAAAGCGCACGUAGGCGGGUCUUCAAGUCGAUUGUGAAAGCCCAGAGCUUAACUCUGGACGUGCAGUCGAUACUGUUGAUCUUGAAUACCUGAGGGGAUGGCGGAAUUCCCGGUGUAGGAGUGAAAUCCGUAGAUAUCGGGAGGAACACCCGAGGCGAAGGCGGCUAUCUGGCAGUGUAUUGACGCUGAGGUGCGAAAGCGUGGGGAGCAAACAGG